Molecule: long non-coding RNA, 1508 nt
Organism: Panicum virgatum (switchgrass)
Lineage: Eukaryota; Viridiplantae; Streptophyta; Magnoliopsida; Poales; Poaceae
Exons: 2
Source: RefSeq, a predicted model, not a curated record
CACGGGCGAGGGCGUGGCGUUCGUGGCCGCGUCGGCCGACCGCUUCCUAGCGGACGCUGGGCUCCUCGACCCGCCCUCCGGCGCGCCGCUGUUGGACGAGCUCGCCGUAGGCCUCGGCGUCGAGGGGUUCCGCCCCUCGGACCCGUUGCUGCUUGUGUAGGGUCACGGAGUUCGCCUGCGGCGGGUUUGUUAUCACGGUCAUGCGGAACCACGCCGUCACACCUUCGCGGAGACAAAUGGCUCCCUCCUCUAAUCCUCCGACGACGAGGGCAAGUACGAGAAUGAGGAGGAGGACGGCGACGACGAUGCCGCCGCGGGGGAGGCCCGGCCCCGCGCCGUUGCCGGCCAGUCGAGCGGCUCCCUCUCCCCGGCGCACUGGAGGGGUGGCAGAUCCCGCGGCUUCUACAGGUGCGGGAAAGGGGGCGGCUUCUGGGGCCGCAACAAGGAGUCGUGCCUUGCCUGCGGGGCGCGGUACUGCGUGGGGUGCGUCCUCCGGGCGAUGGGCACCAUGCCGGAGGGGCGGCGCAAGUGCCUGGACUGCAUCGGCCGGCCCGUGGCCGAGUCCAGAGCGACUGAGAGCAGCAGCGAACUAGGGCGCUGAUAAUCCUCGUCUGCUCCAAUUUGGGGGCCACUCCUUAUCCGUUAUUCCACUACCAGCAAUCGAGUGACUGCCUCUUGAAUUGCUGCCUUGUUCUUGGAAAGAUUACAGCUUCCUGGAGGAGACCAAGCAGGCCAGGGAGUCGGCGCAUAUGUUCAUCGUUGGCUUCGGCCGCAACUUCAAGGGUGGGGCAGCUGCCCAACUGGUUAUUUUUCCUCCGCAAGGUCACACAACGCAGGGGCGACAGGGGUAUAUCAGAAGAGAGCAUAACCGUUUCCCACACAAUCACAAGUGCCUUGGCUUUUCUGCUCUAAAAAUAUUUUUUCCCCCUCUAGCUCCGUGUCUGUAUUGCAAUUCUUGGCCUGCAUGUUCAAAAUUCCUUGCCAUCACAAUGAUGUAUUGCUGCUGAGAUCUUCAGCAGGUUUGCUUUGCCAUCCUUGCUUUCUUGUGGAGAUGGAUUCCGAUUCGGCUCAGCUUUGCUUUGUUCCAAUAUUUGGGUGCUUGCUUGAUAGAUAAAAGAUGUAAUGGGACUUGCAUGAAUCAUUGUGUAGUGCAGUUACCACUAGAAGUUAAUCUGUAUUAGUUGUGUUAGGUCAUAGGUUCUAUUAGUAGGCGUGUUCUCAAUAUGCUACUUGCAUCUACGACUAACUGAUGGGGAAGAACCGUGGUUGGCCAUUUGGGUUUGUGGCAAAUGUCUUGUGUGUCCAAGAAGUUGAGGCAGCUUUGAACAGUUCAGUGGCACCUUGAUGCUCUUUUCAGGCAAAUGUACUUGCAACUAAGAUACUGCUGAACACCAUUUGCGUCUCCUGUAUAUUCAUAAUGCUUGCUUGGUACAUGUAUGUUCAACUUGACUGCUACUUGCUACUUGAUAGUUGUAUAUAUUCGCUUGUCUGCUCUGGACAGUGUAUGA